Long non-coding RNA from Mastomys coucha (southern multimammate mouse), 326 nucleotides. RefSeq lists it as uncharacterized. The record is from RefSeq and is a predicted model, not a curated record. Lineage: Eukaryota; Metazoa; Chordata; Mammalia; Rodentia; Muridae. The transcript is spliced from 2 exons.
GCUCAAAGAAGGAUUAGAAAGCUGCUGGACCGGACCUUCCUCACCACCUGAGAGAUCCUGUGGGCCACACAAGCUUCUCCACUAUGAACAGAAUCCACAGUUCUACUCAGUUCUACUCAGUUGUACUCGGAUCUGUUCUCACCACAUCCGGAUCCGCCUUCCUUGUCUUACCGCUCGUCCCAGGCUGUUUCCCUUGUCCACAUAUCCCUGGCUCCCUCCGCCAGUUAGGCACAUCUUAACCCCUUGUCUCCUCACCUUACAACUACCUUGGAUGUCUCUCAGAGGUGUCAGUGGUAGAUGCCCAGCAUUAUUACCCAAGCCCCUCC